RNAcentral lists this ribosomal RNA (332 nucleotides) under uncultured bacterium. Its description in RNAcentral is "bacterial SSU rRNA". It matches the Rfam family "Bacterial small subunit ribosomal RNA", at positions 568 to 899 of the family's 1533-position model. The record is from RNAcentral.
CGCGUAGACGGUUUUGUAAGUCAGAUGUGAAAUCCCUGGGCUCAACCUGGGAACUGCAUUUGAAACUGCAUGGCUAGAGUAUGGAAGAGGGAAGUGGAAUUUCCGGUGUAGCGGUGAAAUGCGUAGAUAUCGGAAGGAACACCAGUGGCGAAAGCGACUUCCUGGUCCAAUACUGACGUUCAUGUGCGAAAGCGUGGGGAGCAAACAGGAUUAGAUACCCUGGUAGUCCACGCCAUAAACGAUGACAACUAGAUGUUGGGAGGGUCUGCCUCUCGGUGUCGCAGCUAACGCGUUAAGUUGUCCGCCUGGGGAGUACGGCCGCAAGGUUGAAA